GUUGAACGCUGGCGGCAGGCUUAACACAUGCAAGUCGAGCGGGGUGAUGGUGCUUGCACUAUCACUUAGCGGCGGACGGGUGAGUAAUGCUUAGGAAUCUGCCUAUUAGUGGGGGACAACAUCUCGAAAGGGAUGCUAAUACCGCAUACGUCCUACGGGAGAAAGCAGGGGAUCACUUGCGACCUUGCGCUAAUAGAUGAGCCGAAGUCGGAUUUGCUAGUUGGUGGGGUAAAGGCCUACCAAGGCGACGAUCUGUAGCGGGUCUGAGAGGAUGAUCCGCCACACUGGGACUGAGACACGGCCCAGACUCCUACGUGAGGCAGCAGUGGGGAAUAUUGGACAAUGGGGGGAACCCUGAUCCAGCCAUGCCGCGUGUGUGAAGAAGGCCUUAUGGUUGUAAAGCACUUUAAGCGAGGAGGAGGCUCUUUUGGUUAAUACCCAAGAUGAGUGGACGUUACUCGCAGAGUAAGCACCGGCUAACUCUGUGCCAGCCGCCGCGGUAA
RNAcentral lists this ribosomal RNA (503 nucleotides) under uncultured bacterium. RNAcentral describes it as "partial 16S ribosomal RNA". It matches the Rfam family "Bacterial small subunit ribosomal RNA", at positions 28 to 523 of the family's 1533-position model. The record is from RNAcentral.